This 1146-nucleotide ribosomal RNA is filed under the name Candidatus Hodgkinia cicadicola. RNAcentral's name for it is "bacterial SSU rRNA". It matches the Rfam family "Bacterial small subunit ribosomal RNA", at positions 8 to 1146 of the family's 1533-position model. Lineage: Bacteria; Pseudomonadati; Pseudomonadota; Alphaproteobacteria; Hyphomicrobiales. The record is from RNAcentral.
AGAGCUUGAUCCUGGCUCAGAACGAACGCUGGCGGCAGGCCUAACACAUGCAAGUCGAGCGGACGUCCCUCUAAUAAAGGACGCCAGCGGCGCACGGGUGAGUAACACGUAAGAACCUACCUCGUUCAACGGCACAACGCAGGGAAACCUGCGCUAAUUCCGUAUGACUCCUGUACCAGGUAAAGAACCCUUCGGAACGAGAUGAGCUUGCGCUAGAUUAGCUCGUUGGCGGGGCAAACGCCCACCAAGGCAACGAUCUAUAGCUGGUCUGGGAGGACGGACAGCCACACUGGGACUGGAACAAGGCCCAGACUCCUGCGGGAGUCAGCAGUGAGGAAUCUUGGACAAUGGGCGAAAGCCUGAUCCAGCCAUGCCGCGUGAGCGAUUAGAAGCCAAACCUUCUGAAGGUUCGUAAGGAACCGUAAACCUCUUUUGCCAAACGAAAAUGAUGAUGGUAGUUUAAGCGAAUAAGCUCCGGCCAACUUCGUGCCAGCAGCCGCGGUAACACGAGGGGAGCAAGCGUUGUUCGGUUUGAUUGGGCGUAAAGCGCGCGUAGGCGGCUGCGCAAGUCGAUGGACAGAAGCCAAACGGCGGAGCUCAACUCCGUUCCGCUUCCGAUACUACGCGGCUUGAGGCCGGUGGAGGCGAACGGAACUCCAAGUGUAGAGGUGAAAUUCGUUGAUAUUUGGAGGAACACCAGAGGCGAAAGCGGUUCGCCAUGCCGGUUCUGACGCUAAUGCGCUAAAGCGUGGGGAGCAAACAGGAUUAGAUACCCUGGUAGUCCACGCCCUGAACGAUGAGUGCUAACAGCUGGAAACCUAACACAAGGUUACGGUUUUUGAUUGAUAAAGCUAACGCGUUAAGCACUCCGCCUGGGGAGUACGGCCGCAAGGUUGAAACUCAAAGGAACUGACGGGGACCCGCACAAGCGGUGGAGCAUGUGGUUUAAUUCGAAGCUGCACGCAAAACCUUACCAGCCUUUGACAUUGUAGGUCGGUUGCGAACCGAAACGUCCGCACCCAAUGACCUUGCAACAGGUGCUGCAUGGCUGCCGUCAGCUCGUGUCGUGAGACGUACGGUUAAGUCCUACAACGAGCGCAACCCUCGUCCUUAGUUGCUUCCAAGCGAAAGCUAGCUCUCUAAGGA